CGAUCCCUUGUGAAGAGUCGA
Molecule: small nuclear RNA, 21 nt
Filed under: Arabidopsis thaliana (thale cress)
Lineage: Eukaryota; Viridiplantae; Streptophyta; Magnoliopsida; Brassicales; Brassicaceae
Description: snRNA_10096
Source: RNAcentral